This 550-nucleotide long non-coding RNA is filed under the name Sorghum bicolor (sorghum). RNAcentral describes it as "long non-coding RNA (SBIC_LNC010974)". The record is from RNAcentral. Lineage: Eukaryota; Viridiplantae; Streptophyta; Magnoliopsida; Poales; Poaceae.
UGGAAAACCUCCCGGGUGAAAUGCUCACUGAUAUCCGUGCGCUUGCGGAUCAUUUCCUUAUUGCGUUACCAAAUAUCAACAAGCAUUUCUGGCGCCGUUGCCGGGGAGAAAGACGGUUUGCUGAGACAACUUUAAGUCUUGCUAUUAUCUUGUACUAUACUUUUAUGCUUUUAUUCUUUUAUCUUUUUAUUUUUUCCAUUUUUAUGGAUAACUCAAAUUCCACACCUAUUAUUGAAUUUUUUGCACCUUCGGAGACCAGCCAUAGACCAUGGGAGUCAACAAGUCCUGCCCCUAAUUAUGAUCUGUGUCCGAAGUUGAUGGCAAUAGGUCAAAACCAACCAUUUUCUAUAGCUGAGGUCCUAUCUUUUAAUUAAGAAGAUAAUGCACUUUUAGCUACACCUAGGGAAUCUGUUAAUUUUUCUAUAAAUUCUGGUUUAAACCUAGCCCUACAAGACCAUGUUUUUUCUCGAUAUUUUUACAUUGGUCUUAAUCAUAUAACCUUUGGUAGAGUCUUUCUUUCUUUAUCUAUUAGUAAAGGAAGGUAUGUCUU